GGGGUUUGAGAAAAAGGCAGAAAAUGGACUGAGAGUUCUGUGAUAGUGGCCGUGAGGACUGGAGUGAGACUCCACAGCAGCCUUGCACAGAGACAGAGUAGGGCGAAGAGCUGGAGCAGGAACCCUGGGAGCUGUUUCCCUGGGACCUCAGGAGCAGUGGGGAUGUGUUCUCAGAGGRCCUCCUGUGUCCAACUAUCAUUACAUGGAAAAGUGCUUUUACAGAACAGCUGAAGAGCAACUCCUUUAUCCAUCAGGACCCUCUGGGGCAGGAUUAAUAAAAUCCUUGAUAARUUGGUCAAGAGGAUGACGGGAAGGAGGAGUCUCCCUUGAAGUCCUUUAGUUGUUCAGAAUCUGUGGAAUAGUGAUCUAACAGACCUCACUCAUGACUUCAUGUUCAGGUCCCCAGCGGAUACACAAGGGAAGUGGGAACAGAAGAAACGUGUGUUGCUGCAAUGGUGARUAGCCCCACAAGAGUCCCAUGGUCUUCCAGAAGCAACAGCUGUUUUACUCUGGCAUGGGUAGACCUGGUCUGCUUUUGUUUAGCGAUCUUUGUCUUCAAAAACAGCGUGAGGUAAAUGAAUGCCAUGAUGUAGGAAGAAUAGCUGGACUAUGUGCUACAGGAAUUCAGAAGCAAGGAUAA
This 640-nucleotide long non-coding RNA is filed under the name Apteryx rowi (Okarito brown kiwi). Its description in RNAcentral is "lncRNA (ENSARWG00000011134.1)". Lineage: Eukaryota; Metazoa; Chordata; Aves; Apterygiformes; Apterygidae. The record is from RNAcentral.